This 1470-nucleotide ribosomal RNA is filed under the name Loigolactobacillus coryniformis. RNAcentral describes it as "bacterial SSU rRNA". It matches the Rfam family "Bacterial small subunit ribosomal RNA". The record is from RNAcentral. Lineage: Bacteria; Bacillati; Bacillota; Bacilli; Lactobacillales; Lactobacillaceae.
ACGCUGGCGGCGUGCCUAAUACAUGCAAGUCGAACGCACUGACGUCGACCGAAGCUGCUUGCAGUGGACGUUGAUUGACGUGAGUGGCGGACGGGUGAGUAACACGUGGGUAACCUACCCUUAAGUGGGGGAUAACAUUUGGAAACAGAUGCUAAUACCGCAUAACCAUUCAGACCACAUGGUCUGAAUGUAAAAGACGGCCUUUGGCUGUCACUUUUGGACGGACCCGCGGCGUAUUAGUUAGUUGGUAAGGUAACGGCUUACCAAGACAAUGAUACGUAGCCGACCUGAGAGGGUAAUCGGCCACAUUGGGACUGAGACACGGCCCAAACUCCUACGGGAGGCAGCAGUAGGGAAUCUUCCACAAUGGACGAAAGUCUGAUGGAGCAACGCCGCGUGAGUGAAGAAGGUUUUAGGAUCGUAAAACUCUGUUGUUGGAGAAGAACAGGGACUAGAGUAACUGUUAGUCCUUUGACGGUAUCCAACCAGAAAGCCACGGCUAACUACGUGCCAGCAGCCGCGGUAAUACGUAGGUGGCAAAGCGUUGUCCGGAUUUAUUGGGCGUAAAGCGAGCGCAGGCGGUUUUUUAAGUCUGAUGUGAAAGCCUUCGGCUUAACCGAAGAAGUGCAUUAGAAACUGGGAAACUUGAGUGCAGAAGAGGACAGUGGAACUCCAUGUGUAGCGGUGAAAUGCGUAGAUAUAUGGAAGAACACCAGUGGCGAAGGCGGCUGUCUGGUCUGUAACUGACGCUGAGGCUCGAAAGUAUGGGGAGCGAACAGGAUUAGAUACCCUGGUAGUCCAUACCGUAAACGAUGAAUGCUAAGUGUUGGAGGGUUUCCGCCCUUCAGUGCUGCAGCUAACGCAUUAAGCAUUCCGCCUGGGGAGUACGACCGCAAGGUUGAAACUCAAAGGAAUUGACGGGGGCCCGCACAAGCGGUGGAGCAUGUGGUUUAAUUCGAAGCAACGCGAAGAACCUUACCAGGUCUUGACAUCCUUUGACCACUGUAGAGAUACAGCUUUCCCUUCGGGGACAAAGUGACAGGUGGUGCAUGGUUGUCGUCAGCUCGUGUCGUGAGAUGUUGGGUUAAGUCCCGCAACGAGCGCAACCCUUAUGACUAGUUGCCAGCAUUUAGUUGGGCACUCUAGUAAGACUGCCGGUGACAAACCGGAGGAAGGUGGGGAUGACGUCAAAUCAGCAUGCCCCUUAUGACCUGGGCUACACACGUGCUACAAUGGUCGGUACAACGAGUUGCGAACCCGCGAGGGUAAGCUAAUCUCUUAAAGCCGAUCUCAGUUCGGAUUGUAGGCUGCAACUCGCCUACAUGAAGCCGGAAUCGCUAGUAAUCGCGGAUCAGCACGCCGCGGUGAAUACGUUCCCGGGCCUUGUACACACCGCCCGUCACACCAUGAGAGUUUGUAACACCCGAAGUCGGUGGGGUAACCCUUUUAGGGAACUAGCCGCCUAAGGUG